GGAUAUUGCUCAGCCAAAGGGCCAGCAUCCCAGUGAAGAAGAUCAGAAAGAGGCUUCCGAUUCCGUCUCUAGAGCCUUUGAGGUCACUCCUGACGCUGACAUGGCUGUGAAGAGCUGGGUGCCAGGCAUUACUGCCUCCAAGGUUGCUUUGCGAGGAAUAGGUGGGGCAUCAGGAAGAAGCCAGUUGCAGGCAAGGCCUCUGCUGAUGCUGCUUUUUUCUCCUGUAGCCAUCCAUGGGAGGGAGCUGUUAGAUGGCCUGGCAGAACCCGCUCUCAGACCCCACAGAAUGAGAGGCUAACCCUGCACAGGAACAUCCUGGGGCAGCAGGCUCAGCACAUUUUAAAUUUUGAGUAUGAACAAAGUAAACUUCAGGGUUAAAAAAAAACACAAAAAUUUGUUGAGC
Molecule: long non-coding RNA, 403 nt
Organism: Gorilla gorilla gorilla (western lowland gorilla)
Lineage: Eukaryota; Metazoa; Chordata; Mammalia; Primates; Hominidae
Exons: 3
Source: RefSeq, a predicted model, not a curated record